CAGUAGCCACGGGAAUACGAAGGGGGCUAGCGUUGUUCGGAAUUACUGGGCGUAAAGCGCACGUAGGCGGAUAUUUAAGUCAGGGGUGAAAUCCCAGAGCUCAACUCUGGAACUGCCUUUGAUACUGGGUAUCUUGAGUAUGGAAGAGGUGAGUGGAAUUCCGAGUGUAGUGGUGAAAUUCGUAGAUAUUCGGAGGAACACCAGUGGCGAAGGCGGCUCAUUGGUCCAUUACUGACGCUGAGGUGCGAAAGCGUGGGGAGCAAACAGGAUUAGAUACCCCAGUAGUCCCUGUCUCUUAUAC
RNAcentral lists this ribosomal RNA (301 nucleotides) under uncultured bacterium. RNAcentral's name for it is "partial 16S ribosomal RNA". It matches the Rfam family "Bacterial small subunit ribosomal RNA", at positions 509 to 807 of the family's 1533-position model. The record is from RNAcentral.